AAUAGAUUUUUGAAUCAUGAGAACCUAAAAACAUCUGUAAGUCUAAGGGACCAUCUUAAAGAAGCCAGUGAGAACUUCUUCUAUUAUCUGGAUCACUUAAAAUCAAACCAAGCAUUUACCUACAAGGCCCCAGGGGCUCUGACAUUUGUGAUCUCAUAAUUCUUCCAUUGAUACCAUGAGGCUGGAAACCCUAUGGUUGCUGGCUUCCCUGGGUCACUUGGCUGCCUCUGGGCUGCCAACAUAGAACCCACGUCACAUAAAGCCCCGGCCCAAGUAAAAUGCCAACAUCCAGGCCAAAUCCACACUUUUCCAUUUGUGAACAUGUCGCGCUUAAGAAUUACCUCCCUUCUUUCUGGGAUGGCUCAAAUAAUGGAAGGAAUGGUCCUCCAUCACCUUGAGGUUUUGUCAGCUUGACGUCCUCAUCCAAGCCUGACCACAGCCGUUAUGACAGCAUGAAUGCAAACACCACCUCUCCUGACCUAGACGCUGCACCCGGCUGUGCCCGCUUCUGCUGUAGGGAGAGUCAGUGAGGUCCAUCUGCAGCCUUCCUCCUUUUCCUUGAAUGGGGCUUGGCAUUGAGAUUACACACCUCUGGCAGUGGGGCCUCCAGCAAGUCUUAAAGAUCUCGACGCACCGACAUCUUGGCACAUAGUAGUUAACAAUAAGUAACUGUUCAAUUGGCUUCUAGUUGAACCUCAUAUGUCUUGGUUAACAUGUGCAGGAUUGGUAGGCAUUCAGCCCCAAUUAUUCCGCCCUUAACUCAUUUUUGCAGUUUAUUAAUAAUCAGUUGGCACGCAGUUUCGAAAGAACUAAUUCUGUAAUAACAUGUUAUGGCUACUCCUCGGCGCCAUUACAUGCCUGAGGUCCCUUGCUGUCCCUUUGUGUUUUUGAUGAAAGGUAACAGCCUGGUGUUCCCAGCCGUCACCCAGAGGUGGGAGCAGAUCCGGCUGCUGCAGCUUAUUGCUAGGAAUGGGUGAGGCUGAGUGGAAGCUUUAGUAACUCAGGUGCGGCUCUUAAGCUUUGUUUUGAGUUUCAAAAGGGCUGUUUUGUCCCUUACUCGUGAAGUGGCCUUGUGUGACAUAAUGGCCCCCUCUGUGCAGGGUUCGAGGGGAAGGGAAGGGGAACAUGCCCAGCGACUCCACGUGGGGAAGUUGCAUUUCCACACCAUUCACAGGGGAUCCAGUGUUUUCGGAAUUGUCUGGGUGUGAACAGCAUAAGAGGUGCUAGAAACUCAGCAAGGGAAGGGGGAGCUGGGCCAGGAGGAGAAGGCUGGGGAUGGGCUGAGGAGAGAGAGCUUCCUGGCCAGAGGCAGCCCCAGGCAUGGGUCUUGGGUUCUGAGUGGGCAGGAUUCUGGCUCAGGGUGAGAGGUGAAACUUCGUUCAGGAGAUAUACGCUGAGCCAUCCACUACGUGCCAGGCACCUUAGAAAGGGCCGGGUAUUCAUAUUGUGACUUCACACGGCUCCCUGCAGAGUUGACGUUGGGAGCUGCCCUGCUAGCCACGGACCACAUUGUGAACAGCACCCCCUGGGGGUGGGAGAUGUGGUGGGCGGAGUUCAGGAUCCAGCCACAGGGAAAGAACGAACAGGCAAACUGUGGGAUCCCGGCCUGCCAGGGAGGGUUCAGGGUAAAGCCUUCAGUUUGCUUGUUCAUUCAUUUAUUCAAUAUUUAUUGAAGGCCUCACAGGGAGGUGACAAACUCUAUAGACACAUACACGGGGGAAGAGCACGCCAGGCAGAGGGAACAGCAGGUGCAAAGGGGAUGGCGCUUGGUAGGUUCCAGGAGCGGGCAGAACAGAGUGGCUGGAGCAGAGUGGGCAAGGCUGGGGGGCAGCACUGAAGGAGGCACAGUCAGAAAGGGGACAGGGGGCUGGUCACAGGGGCAUGCAGCCCAUGAUGAAGCCUUUUGACUGAGAUGGGGAGUAGAGAGGGGUCUUGAGCAGAAAGGUGACGUGAUCCAACCUUUGUUUUAACGUAGCGCCAUGGCUGCCAUGAUAUAAUCAUAGACCGAAGGGGUCAAGGGUAGAAAAUCAGAGACAAGUUGUUGGGCCAGUGGGGCCUGGAUGGUGGCAGUAGAAAUGGGGAAAGUUCUCAGAUUCUGGACCCAUUUUGAAGGAGGAGUGACAGGAUUUGCUGAUGGAACAAAUGUGGGGAGCAAGAGGAAGAAGAGUUAGGAAUGUCUCCUGGGCAGUGGGAAAGAAGAAAGUGUCAUUGACAGAAAUGGAGAAGACUGUGGGAGGGGCAGGUUUGGGAGGAAAUAAUUAGGAGCUCUGUUUGGGACAUGUUGUAUUGGAGAUACUUUUUGGACAUCCAGUGGGGAGAGUGAUAGGUGGGGUAAUUGGGUCUAGAAGUCAGGGAUGAGGUCUAGGUUAGAGACAGAGACUUUAGUCAUCAGCAUGUUGAUGGUACUUCAAGCCAUGAGACUGGAGGAGAUCCCUGAGACUGAAGCUGAGAAAAAAAGAGGUCAAGGGCUGAGCCGUGGGCACUACAGCUUUUGCACACUGGAGAGAAGAGCAAGAACUGGCAAAGGAGACUGAGAAGGAGCAGCCAGAGAGGCUUUUUCUAGCAGCUGUGAUCAGCAAGGGGAAAGGACCUGCCUAAAGUCAUCACACUGCUAAUUGGGGUCGAGUUAGAACCCAAGUCUCUGGGCCCCGCUUGAGGCUGUUUACCUCUUCAGGACAGAAGGGACCAGCUGGAUAUAAGAGCUGAAGGAGAGAGACCAGACCAGAGCAUCUAUUCAGGAAAUUUUAGGCCCUUUCUCAGACGGCCUAAAAUUAGACCUUCGCCACUCCCAACCAAAGCAUGUCAUGACAUGGAAGAAGGUGGUCCCUGGCCUAAUGACCCAUUUCUGUAAAAAUGAGGUAGGAUGUGUAAACAGUGCAAUAAGACUAUGGAACAACAGACCGUGAGCCAGUGUCACCUUAAAUGUAAACGUUAGAGAUCUAGGCUUCUGAAGAAAUGUUGGAAAGCC
RNAcentral lists this long non-coding RNA (2968 nucleotides) under Homo sapiens (human). Its description in RNAcentral is "HSALNT0303939". Lineage: Eukaryota; Metazoa; Chordata; Mammalia; Primates; Hominidae. The record is from RNAcentral.